GGCCAAUGGGGGCAUGCUUUACCAUGCAGUCGACGGCAGCACGGGCUUCGGCCUGGUGGCGAGUGGCGAACGGGUGAGUAAUACAUCGGAACGUACCCAGAAGUGGGGGAUAACGUAGCGAAAGUUACGCUAAUACCGCAUACGUUCUACGGAAGAAAGUGGGGGAUCGCAAGACCUCAUGCUUUUGGAGCGGCCGAUGUCUGAUUAGCUAGUUGGUGAGGUAAAGGCUCACCAAGGCGACGAUCAGUAGCUGGUCUGAGAGGACGACCAGCCACACUGGAACUGAGACACGGUCCAGACUCCUACGGGAGGCAGCAGUGGGGAAUUUUGGACAAUGGGCGCAAGCCUGAUCCAGCAAUGCCGCGUGAGUGAAGAAGGCCUUCGGGUUGUAAAGCUCUUUUGUCAGGGAAGAAACGGCAGGGGCUAAUAUCCUUUGCUAAUGACGGUACCUGAAGAAUAAGCACCGGCUAACUACGUGCCAGCAGCCGCGGUAAUACGUAGGGUGCAAGCGUUAAUCGGAAUUACUGGGCGUAAAGCGUGCGCAGGCGGUUUUGUAAGUCUGACGUGAAAGCCCCGGGCUCAACCUGGGAAUUGCGUUGGAGACUGCAAGGCUUGAAUCUGGCAGAGGGGGGUAGAAUUCCACGUGUAGCAGUGAAAUGCGUAGAGAUGUGGAGGAACACCGAUGGCGAAGGCAGCCCCCUGGGUCAAGAUUGACGCUCAUGCACGAAAGCGUGGGGAGCAAACAGGAUUAGAUACCCUGGUAGUCCACGCCCUAAACGAUGUCUACUAGUUGUCGGGUUUUAAUUAACUUGGUAACGCAGCUAACGCGUGAAGUAGACCGCCUGGGGAGUACGGUCGCAAGAUUAAAACUCAAAGGAAUUGACGGGGACCCGCACAAGCGGUGGAUGAUGUGGAUUAAUUCGAUGCAACGCGAAAAACCUUACCUACCCUUGACAUGUCAGGAAUCCUUGAGAGAUCGGGGAGUGCCCGAAAGGGAGCCUUGAACACAGGUGCUGCAUGGCUGUCGUCAGCUCGUGUCGUGAAGAUGUUGGGGUUAGUCCCGCACGAGCGCAACCU
RNAcentral lists this ribosomal RNA (1077 nucleotides) under Massilia haematophila. Its description in RNAcentral is "bacterial SSU rRNA". It matches the Rfam family "Bacterial small subunit ribosomal RNA", at positions 31 to 1104 of the family's 1533-position model. The record is from RNAcentral. Lineage: Bacteria; Pseudomonadati; Pseudomonadota; Betaproteobacteria; Burkholderiales; Oxalobacteraceae.